AAAAGGUAAAAAAAUAACAAAAGGGAGGGGGGACAUUAUCAAUGCAAGAGGUAAAAGAACUAAAAAACUAAAAAAAAUAAAAGAAAGAACAAAAAUAAAUAAAUAAAGCAAUAAUAUAAAAUAAUAAAUAAAAAAUAUAUACAAAAGACAAAAAUAGGUUGAAAAUUGGGGGUGUAGUUAUGAAAAUGCUCUAGGCCCAAAGAAGGAAGGCUCAC
This 215-nucleotide long non-coding RNA is filed under the name Lathyrus oleraceus (garden pea). RNAcentral describes it as "Pisum sativum (pea) long non-coding RNA (PSAT_LNC019828)". The record is from RNAcentral. Lineage: Eukaryota; Viridiplantae; Streptophyta; Magnoliopsida; Fabales; Fabaceae.